RNAcentral lists this transfer RNA (68 nucleotides) under Cechetra lineosa. Its description in RNAcentral is "tRNA-Ala". It matches the Rfam family "tRNA". From Rfam's summary of the family: Transfer RNA (tRNA) molecules are approximately 80 nucleotides in length. Their secondary structure includes four short double-helical elements and three loops (D, anti-codon, and T loops). The record is from RNAcentral. Lineage: Eukaryota; Metazoa; Arthropoda; Insecta; Lepidoptera; Sphingidae.
AGGAUUAUAGUUUAUAUUUAAAACACUUGAUUUGCAAUCAAAAAAUAUUGAUUUAUCAAUUUAUCUUA